GGAUUGUGGCUCAGUGGUAGAGCGCUCCCCUAGCAUGGGUGCUACCCGGGUUCAAUUCUCAGCACCA
This 67-nucleotide transfer RNA is filed under the name Marmota monax (woodchuck). RNAcentral's name for it is "tRNA.Ala". The stretch from base 5 to 64 matches the Rfam family "tRNA", at positions 6 to 65 of the family's 71-position model. Rfam says of the family: Transfer RNA (tRNA) molecules are approximately 80 nucleotides in length. Their secondary structure includes four short double-helical elements and three loops (D, anti-codon, and T loops). Lineage: Eukaryota; Metazoa; Chordata; Mammalia; Rodentia; Sciuridae. The record is from RNAcentral.